Molecule: long non-coding RNA, 504 nt
Filed under: Numida meleagris (helmeted guineafowl)
Lineage: Eukaryota; Metazoa; Chordata; Aves; Galliformes; Numididae
Description: lncRNA (ENSNMEG00000001794.1)
Source: RNAcentral
UGCUGCUCUUCUUUUAAUUCCUUGCAGUUAGGAUACAUAAAUUGAAAUGAGGAAAUCAAUAGCAGGAUCUGACUUCUUCUUCUACUUUUUUUUUUUCAGUGCUUGUUCUAAUAAGGAGAUCUGUUCCAAAGCUGGAAGCUGGCUCCUGUCUUUGAGAUGCUGUGCAGUGUUUCUUCCUGUAGGUAGGAAGAUGUAAUUUGACCUAGUCCAGCUGAGGGAAAAAAAAAGCAACGUUCAGUCAGAUGAGCUCUGCUGGCUUUGGCAUGAGGUGGAAAUGGCUGCGAAUAGUCAGGCCCUCACCAUGGCCUUCUAAUGCUUGAAAAUAUUUGAGAUUAGGCAAUGUGGUUUCAUUUGAAAACGUUUACUGGUUUGAAGUACUGUUCCAUUCUUCAAGAGGAAUUAGAAGGUCAGAGAGCUCGACAUACGCUUCUGCACCAAGCUGUUGCAUUGAGAAAGACUUUCCUGUUUGUUGAGGUCAUUUCCUGGUCUGUUUUCAGCUACUGA